Molecule: ribosomal RNA, 1116 nt
Filed under: Leptolyngbya sp. UPMC-A0102
Lineage: Bacteria; Bacillati; Cyanobacteriota; Cyanophyceae; Leptolyngbyales; Leptolyngbyaceae
Description: bacterial SSU rRNA
Rfam family: Bacterial small subunit ribosomal RNA
Source: RNAcentral
UGCUAAUACCGAAUGUGCCUUAGGGUGAAAGAUUUAUUGUCUAGAGAUUGGCUCGCGUCAGAUUAGCUAGUUGGAGUGGUAACGGCACACCAAGGCGACGAUCUGUACUUGGUCUGAGAGGAUGACCAGGCACACUGGAACUGAGACACGGUCCAGACUCCUACGGGAGGCAGCAGUGGGGAAUUUUCCGCAAUGGGCGAAAGCCUGACGGAGCAAUACCGCGUGAGGGAGGACGGCUUUUGGGUUGUAAACCUCUUUUAUCAGGGAAGAAUCGAUGACGGUACCUGAUGAAUCAGCAUCGGCUAACUCCGUGCCAGCAGCCGCGGUAAUACGGAGGAUGCAAGCGUUAUCCGGAAUUAUUGGGCGUAAAGCGUCCGUAGGUGGUUUAUCAAGUCUGCUGUCAAAGCGUGCGGCUUAACCGCAUAAGGGCAGUGGAAACUGAUGAACUAGAGUGCGAUAGGGGUAACAGGAAUUCCCAGUGUAGCGGUGAAAUGCGUAGAUAUUGGGAAGAACACCAGCGGCGAAAGCGUGUUACUGGGUCUGCACUGACACUGAGGGACGAAAGCUAGGGGAGCGAAAGGGAUUAGAUACCCCUGUAGUCCUAGCCGUAAACGAUGACAACUAGGCGUGGUUCGUAUCGACCCGAGCCGUGCCGUAGCCAACGCGUUAAGUUGUCCGCCUGGGGAGUACGCACGCAAGUGUGAAACUCAAAGGAAUUGACGGGGGCCCGCACAAGCGGUGGAGUAUGUGGUUUAAUUCGAUGCAACGCGAAGAACCUUACCAAGGCUUGACAUCCUCGGAACCCUGAUGAAAGUUAGGGGUGCCUUCGGGAGCCGAGAGACAGGUGGUGCAUGGCUGUCGUCAGCUCGUGUCGUGAGAUGUUGGGUUAAGUCCCGCAACGAGCGCAACCCACGUUUUUAGUUGCCAGCAUUCAGUUGGGCACUCUAGAGAGACUGCCGGUGACAAACCGGAGGAAGGUGUGGAUGACGUCAAGUCAGCAUGCCCCAUACGCCUUGGGCUACACACGUACUACAAUGCGUCGGACAAAGAGCAGCCAGCCAGCGAUGGUGAGCCAAUCUCAUAAACCGACGCUCAGUUCAGAUUGCAGGCUGCAAC